Non-coding RNA from Carlito syrichta (Philippine tarsier), 312 nucleotides. NCBI's taxonomy places the organism in Eukaryota, Metazoa, Chordata, Mammalia, Primates, Tarsiidae. The record is from the annotation of a RefSeq genome assembly.
AUGGCCUGGGCUUUGCAUUUCCUCUGCCUCCUCACUCAGGGCACAGUGUCCUGGGCCCAGUCUCCCCUGAUUCAGUCUCCCUCAGUGUACAUGACUUCUGGGCAGUCUGUAACCAACUCCUGUGCUGGAAGCAGCAGUGAUGUUGGGAGUUAUGAUUACAUCUUCUGGUAUCAACAACACCCAGGAACAGCCCCCAAACUCCUGAUUUAUGAUGUCGGUUCUCAAGCAUCAGGAGUCCCUGAUAGUUUCUCAGGCUCCAAGUCUGGCAACAUGGUCUCCAUGACCAUCUCUGGGCUCCAGAUGGAGGACUAG